UCAGUGAAAAUAAACAGCCGCAGAAUUUUAACACUGUGCUAAGGUAGCAUAAUCACUUGUCUUUUAAUUAAAGAAUAGAAUGAACGGAAAAACGAAUUUUAACCUAUUUCGAUUUUUUUUUACAAAAUUACCAAAAAGUAAAAACACUUUUUUCUAAAAAAAAGACGAUAAGACCCUAAAGAACUUAACUAAAGUUAAGCUGGGGCGGCUCUAUAAAAAAAUCUUAAUUUAAUAUUAAUUCAUCCUUACUAUAUUUACUAAGUUACCUUAGGGAUAACAGCAUAAUUUAAUUUAAUAGCUCUCAUUCAAAAUUAAGAUUAUGACCUCGAUGUUGAAUUAGCAUUCUACUAAACGAAAAAAAUUAGCAAGAAAGUCUGUUCGACUUUUAAACAACUACAUGAUUUGAGUUCAGACCGGUGAAAACCAGGUCGGUUUCUAUCUUUUUUAAACUUUUAUUAGUACGAAAGGACCAUAAAAUAUAUUA
Molecule: ribosomal RNA, 484 nt
Filed under: Dysdera levipes
Lineage: Eukaryota; Metazoa; Arthropoda; Arachnida; Araneae; Dysderidae
Description: partial 16S ribosomal RNA
Rfam family: Bacterial large subunit ribosomal RNA
Source: RNAcentral